Long non-coding RNA from Brachypodium distachyon (stiff brome), 1921 nucleotides. RefSeq lists it as uncharacterized. The record is from RefSeq and is a predicted model, not a curated record. NCBI's taxonomy places the organism in Eukaryota, Viridiplantae, Streptophyta, Magnoliopsida, Poales, Poaceae. The transcript is spliced from 3 exons.
UUUCGUGCGCCACCGUUCUCCCUUCACCGCACCAAAUCCUCCCUAGCGGCCUAGCGGCGAACGAAGAUGACGGCUGCUGCUGCCUGUUGGCCACAGCCGAGGCCGCGUUCGGCAGGGGCGGGACCGGGCCACUGGUCAUCGGCAGCGUCCCUCGCGCACACGCCUUCGGCCGCUCCUCCUCUCACACAAAGCAACGGCGGACAACGACGACAAUGGCCGCCGCCGCCCCCUGUUGGCCAACGUCGAGGACGCGCUCGGCGGGGAACAGCACCGGGCUUCGGUCCGUCAUCGGCUUCCCUCGAGCGGCCUUCAUCAGCGUAUGGUGAUGCACCUCCCUCCUCGUAUCGGUCCGCCCCCGCGCUCUCGCCCCUCUCACCCCGCGCGCCGCUCCUUCUCUCCCCGCCUCUGUGCACCCGCUACUUCAGCUUCCACCUCUGAACGCCCACCACGGAGCUCGCCGCCCCGACAGGCAUGGCCAACACGGACGCCGUCCUCCGCUCCCUCUCCGUCCCUGCCUCCCGUCUUCCCGAUCUGCGUGGGCGUGGAGAGCUUCCUCCUCUGCGGAUCCAGCCGCCCCGACCGGCAGGGCCACCACCAGCCGCCGCCGGCCAUCCUGGAAGAUCUACUGCUGCCAAAUUUGUUGAUGCAAAUCGGUUUCUAGGUCCUUCAGAAGAUAUGUAUCAGGAGAAGAAGGCAUUAUACAAGCUAAUUUCAGGAUUGCACUCCUCAAUUUCUGUACACAUUGCUUAUUACGGUUAUAUUCUAGACGAAUCUGCUAACUUGGUGUCUACCCACCACCGUACAACGUCCUGUUCAUAGUGCAAUUAUGGACUGAAGAUUUUGUUUUCUGUUGAUGGAGAGAACAAUUUGAAUCAACAGUUCCGUCUGCAGCUAAACGAGGUCAUUGCACUGGUAAAUCUUCUGAACGGGCUGUUAGAAUCUGUCAAAUUUGCGUACAUGAAAAAUGACCAUCCACCGACGAAGGAAUUAACCUGAAUCUCAACCAGGUUGUUUGUUUCCCUGGGCCGCAACUGGCUAACGGGCUGUUUGGUUUCCCCGGGCCGCCGGAUGUAAUGCCCGUCUCUCUCCCUGCAUCGAUACUCUUCCUCGCUCCCCUAGCGUCGGCCGCCCGAGCGAGGCCCCUCCGCCGCCCGAGCCCUUCUCGUCGACCACCGGCGCGCCGCCCCUCCGCCACCGGCACUUCUCCGCUGGCGGGGCGCCUCCUCGGCCGCCCACGCGCCUCCGACAAUCGUCCAGGCGGCUCCCGCGGAUGAAGCCGUAGCCCAGCCAGGUCCACCACGGCGCCAUCCCCCAUUGGCAGGUCUGAAGAGGCAUUGGACGGUGACGAUGCGGACGGCUCCUUGCAGCGCCCCUGCCAUGUCCUUCCUUUGACUCGCGGCGACCUCCUUGACUGCAGCGACGGUUGAGCUGCCUCCAGCAACGGCGACCGUGGAUACGUCUCACCCUGCCGUGUGGUAUUGCCCCAGGCGAUGGCUACUUGGGCUGAAUUUGGGUGUUCUGUUGUGCUGAUUUUUUUUGAACCAGCUGCACUGAAAGUUUUGCUGUACUGAAUUUGGGUGUUCUGCUGGCUGAUGAUGUAUUUUUGAAGAUGUUGGCUCCUGUGUUGCUGAAGCCUGAAGCUCCUGUGUUGCUGAAUGUACAGAAAUUUAUGGUGUGCGCUAUUUUAGUUCUUCCUCUGUCCCAUAUUAAGUGAUUCAAAUUUGUCCAAAUAUGGAUGGAUCUAUGCUUAAAAAAUGUCUAGAUACAUGUCAUAGAAAGUCACUUAACAUGGGACGGAGGGAGUAGUUAUUUAGGCAGGCUUUUCAAUCUGAAUGUGAAUGUAGAAAAAUCUCAUGUAUUUUGGAUGUGAAUGUACAUAAAUUUCAUCUAUUAUGUCAGUGUAUGGAAAUCUCAUGGCAUA